AUGCGGCUGGUCAUGGUUGUGGCCACGGUUAUGGAAAUGUGUGUGGAUAUGGAUGUGUAUGGAUAUGGAAAUGCUGAUGGUGAUGGGCUGAUGGUGGCCGUGACGUUGGAUGAGUCUGGGGGCGGCCUCCAGGCACCCGGAGGAGGGAUCAGCCUCGUCUGCAAGGCCUCUGGAUUCACCUUCAGUGAUUAUGCCAUGUACUGGGUGCGACAGGCACCAGGCAAGGGGCUGGAAUUCGUCGCAGGUAUUAGGGAUGAUGGUAGUGACACAUCCUACAGGGGAGCAGUGGAUGGCCGUGCCACCAUCUCGAGGGACAACGGGCAGAGCACAGUGAGGCUGCAGCUGAACAACCUCAGGGCUGAGGACACCGCCACCUACUGCUGUGCAAAAUGUGCUGGUAGUGGUAGUGGUUGUGGUUCUACUCACGCUGUUGUUUUUAGUGGCGUCACCCACAGCCCAGAUUGA
Molecule: non-coding RNA, 465 nt
Organism: Phasianus colchicus (ring-necked pheasant)
Lineage: Eukaryota; Metazoa; Chordata; Aves; Galliformes; Phasianidae
Source: the annotation of a RefSeq genome assembly